RNAcentral lists this ribosomal RNA (305 nucleotides) under uncultured bacterium. RNAcentral's name for it is "bacterial SSU rRNA". It matches the Rfam family "Bacterial small subunit ribosomal RNA", at positions 337 to 634 of the family's 1533-position model. The record is from RNAcentral.
UCCUACGGGACGCAGCAGUAGGGAAUCUUCCACAAUGGGCGAAAGCCUGAUGGAGCAACGCCGCGUGGGUGAAGAAGGUCUUCGGAUCGUAAAACCCUGUUGUUAGAGAAGAAAGUGCGUGAGAGUAACUGUUCACGUUUCGACGGUAUCUAACCAGAAAGCCACGGCUAACUACGUGCCAGCAGCCGCGGUAAUACGUAGGUGGCAAGCGUUAUCCGGAUUCACUGGGCGUAAAGGGAGCGCAGGCGGCAUGGCAAGUCUGAUGUGAAAACCCGGGGCCCAACCCCGGGAGUGCAUCGGAAACU